CGGUGAACUCAGACUCUCACCGCACCACAGACCGGCUUUGGAGGAGGACUUUCCUGCAGCACAUACAUCCACACAUUCACGUGUGUGAGCUCAUGCACAGCUGUGACAUCGAUCAGUCAUUUAUUAAGAAGAGGAAGCGUGAGAGACGGUGAGAGAGCCUCUUGUUUAUGCAGAUUAAAAGGAGCUAAUCUCAGUGCUAAUUUAUUACUUUUAAAAAUCAAACAUUUUUAUUAUUUUUGACUCGUUAUGAGCUUGCCUAACUAUCUCUGACAAGCAGAUCCGUGUUUGUGAGUUCCCCCGCUGAGGCUGGGUCUCCGGCACAGCGAGGGCGAGGAGGCUAAAUGAAGGACAGUGAGACAGUCGGAGAGAAGGUAAAAACUCUGAAUCAAAGCAGUGAGCAUGAAACAAAAAGCCCCGCUGCGGGCAACAAGACGGUGUGCUUUUCGUUGGAAGCUGUCGUCUGCAGUGUUCCAACUUUCACUGAGCGGCAUGAGCAAAUCUGACAACCUCAUGCGUAAAGAACGAGAAGAGAAUCGCUUCUUAAAUACCCCCCCCCAAAAAACAUAAAAAAAAUAUUUAUUAAAGCUCAAGUCUGACUCAUCUAGGUUGUCGUGUACAGACUCUCCAACAAUAUUGCAUGACAAAAAGAAUCAGCGCAGGGCAGAGAGUACUGGAAAGAUGAAAUGUUACAGGAUGGGUUUGGAGGAAUAUGGGGAGACUAUGUUUCUGUUCUGUAUAUUUCAUCUUUACAUAUUUUAUAUUCAGGGUGCAUUGAUGGAAAAACAUCCAACAGUUGUUGAGAUAUCUCAGUCUCAACCAAGCAGCAUCCUCCGGUGUUGAAGAUGAAGCCAAUACUGAGGUGAUGAAAUCCUUCAGUUCCAGCAGCGGGCAGCACCGCCGACAUCUGGAGUCCAAAGACCGAGGAGUCCCGGCGAAAACCCGUCUUGGACACAAAGUGCUGACUCAGGAUGCAGCGUGACUGAUCACCAAGCUGUCGCACUGUUGAGCCCCGAUGGAGACCGACAAGCCCUGUGACGGCCGGCUGACUCACACGUGCACACAUGCAUGAAGACUCUCACACAGAAAGUGUUGAAUAGCUGGACGUAUCACAUUCUUCACCCGUUUUCUGAGAUAACAGGAAAUGAUUUAGGUCAGAGAUACUGAAGUUUAUGAGAGGCAGAGGCAUAAAACUGUGUAGAGCCAAGACUAACACAGUGUGUCAGUAAAACACUGAUGCGGAUGUGAACUUUUUUUUUAUGUCAGAUUACGAAAGCCACAAAAUUGUUCUGCAGAAA
Labrus bergylta (ballan wrasse) is the source of this 1295-nucleotide non-coding RNA. NCBI's taxonomy places the organism in Eukaryota, Metazoa, Chordata, Actinopteri, Labriformes, Labridae. The record is from RefSeq and is a predicted model, not a curated record.